UACGGAGGGGGCUAGCGUUGUUCGGAAUUACUGGGCGUAAAGCGCACGUAGGCGGCUUCGCAAGUUAGAGGUGAAAGCCCGGGGCUCAACUCCGGAACUGCCUUUAAAACUGCAUCGCUAGAAUUGUGGAGAGGUAAGUGGAAUUCCGAGUGUAGAGGUGAAAUUCGUAGAUAUUCGGAAGAACACCAGUGGCGAAGGCGACUUACUGGACACAUAUUGACGCUGAGGUGCGAAAGCGUGGGGAGCAAACAGG
Molecule: ribosomal RNA, 253 nt
Filed under: uncultured bacterium
Lineage: Bacteria
Description: partial 16S ribosomal RNA
Rfam family: Bacterial small subunit ribosomal RNA
Source: RNAcentral